GGGACAGACUUUAUCAGAACCAGUGACAACCAAAGAUACAUCCACGUGUAGCAAUCACUUGUACAAAGUAGCGUCUUCUUGUAUGCAGGGAUGGCGUAUCAAUAUGGAAGAUGCUCAUACACACCUGCUGUCACUGCCUGGUGAUAAGGAAGCCAGUUUCUUUGGGGUUUAUGAUGGCCAUGGAGGUGCUAGAGUAGCUGAAUACUCAGCCAAUCAUUUGCAUAGGAAAAUUCUCAGCCAGCCAGAAUACAG
Molecule: long non-coding RNA, 252 nt
Organism: Lingula anatina
Lineage: Eukaryota; Metazoa; Brachiopoda; Lingulata; Lingulida; Lingulidae
Source: RefSeq, a predicted model, not a curated record